Molecule: long non-coding RNA, 641 nt
Organism: Lemur catta (Ring-tailed lemur)
Lineage: Eukaryota; Metazoa; Chordata; Mammalia; Primates; Lemuridae
Exons: 2
Source: RefSeq, a predicted model, not a curated record
AUUCUCCCUCGCUGGCUUCGCACGCCGCCUGGCCCACGCGGGGCUCGGGAGACAGCCCCAGAGACUCCCAGAGGCUGGGGAGGGAAGGAGAGAGGCCGCGGGGCACGGGGGUGGUGGGGGUGAUACUUUGACGGAAAAAAAAAAAGGUCAAACUUGAUCUGCCCGCCAGGCACCCCGCGGGCAGCGGGGGCGAGGAGCCGGAGGGGAAAUGCAGAAGUGGCCGCCGCCUGUUCCAAGCGGUGGGGGAGGCUCUGAGCAGUUGCCGUCGCCCCGAACACAGGGCUGCGAGCGGGGCCUGAUGGGGGGGCAGUGCGCGCCGGAGAUCUCCAAGCAGCCGCCCCCGCAGGCGGAGCGCCCGCCCAGCGCCGAGAGUGAUCUGCGACCGAGCAUACUGCGGCUUGGGGAGGCUUGGGCACAGCAGCGGCCACCGAGCGAUCACUGGCGCUAGGUCUCCCAGGCUCCGGGGCUCCGCAGCUCAGGCUGCGGGCGCCCCCUGCCCCUCCCAAACACGGACCCCUCCUACCCAGUCCCUGGCUCUCCGCACCUGAACUUCGGGGGAACCCGCGCCGCCAAACUUUCAGCCGACUCGCACCGAACUCCGGCCCUGGCCGCGCACCGAACCCCGGGGGAGGAGAGGGAGG